AGGACGAACGCUGGCGGCGUGCCUAAUACAUGCAAGUCGAGCGGACCAAAGGGAGCUUGCUCCUGGAGGUUAGCGGCGAACGGGUGAGUAACACGUGGGCAACCUGCCUGUAAGACUGGGAUAACAUCGAGAAAUCGGUGCUAAUACCGGAUAAUAAAAGAACUGCAUGGUCUUUUUGAAAGAUGGUUUCGGCUAUCACUUACAGAUGGGCCCGCGGCGCAUUAGCUAGUUGGUGAGGUAACGGCUCACCAAGGCAACGAUGCGUAGCCGACCUGAGAGGGUGAUCGGCCACACUGGGACUGAGACACGGCCCAGACUCCUACGGGAGGCAGCAGUAGGGAAUCUUCCGCAAUGGACGAAAGUCUGACGGAGCAACGCCGCGUGAGUGAUGAAGGUUUUCGGAUCGUAAAACUCUGUUGUUAGGGAAGAACAAGUGCCGUUCGAAAGGGCGGCACCUUGACGGUACCUAACGAGAAAGCCACGGCUAACUACGUG
RNAcentral lists this ribosomal RNA (495 nucleotides) under uncultured bacterium. Its description in RNAcentral is "bacterial SSU rRNA". It matches the Rfam family "Bacterial small subunit ribosomal RNA", at positions 26 to 507 of the family's 1533-position model. The record is from RNAcentral.